AGAUACGCGCAGAACCUUACCAACACUUGACAUGUUCGUCGCGACUCUAAGAGAUUAGAGUUUUCGGUUCGGCCGGACGAAACACAGGUGCUGCAUGGCUGUCGUCAGCUCGUGUCGUGAGAUGUUGGGUUAAGUCCCGCAACGAGCGCAACCCUCACUUUUAGUUGCCAUCAUUAAGUUGGGCACUCUGAAAGAACUGCCAGUGAUAAGCUGGAGGAAGGUGGGGAUGACGUCAAGUCCUCAUGGCCCUUACGUGUUGGGCUACACACGUGCUACAAUGGCAUCUACAACAGGAAGCAAAACGGCAACGUUAAGCAAAUCCCGAAAAGAUGCCUCAGUUCGGAUUGCACUCUGCAACUCGAGUGCAUGAAGCUGGAAUUACUAGUAAUCGUGGAUCAGCGUGCCACGGUGAAUGCGUUCCCGGGUCUUGUACACACCGCCCGUCACACCAUGGGAGUUGGUUCUACCNUAAGGCAAGGUUUNAANC
This 487-nucleotide ribosomal RNA is filed under the name uncultured bacterium. RNAcentral describes it as "bacterial SSU rRNA". It matches the Rfam family "Bacterial small subunit ribosomal RNA", at positions 955 to 1440 of the family's 1533-position model. The record is from RNAcentral.